Lactuca sativa (garden lettuce) is the source of this 604-nucleotide long non-coding RNA. RefSeq lists it as uncharacterized. NCBI's taxonomy places the organism in Eukaryota, Viridiplantae, Streptophyta, Magnoliopsida, Asterales, Asteraceae. The record is from RefSeq and is a predicted model, not a curated record.
UAGGGCUUUUAUUUCAUCCCCUUUUCACUUUCAGGCCUCUUUCGCUCAAAGCUUCAACCACGACUUCCUCCUUAACCUCCUGCUGUCACCCUCGCCCGUCCGUCAGUUCCGUGUCGCUGUCCGCCAUUGUCGUCGCCUCCGUCACUCCGCAAUGUCGUGACGAUUCCCGCCAUUCGAUUUCAGCAAAGUUUAAGGACGAAGAAAUUUGGGUCAUCAUGGCACCGAAACUGAAAUACAUUCCUGGCCUCACUCUCAAAGAAAAGACGCUAAAAGGAUUUGAAACUCACGUCAUCACCAAUUCUAAAAGUGGGGGGAAUGUAUCCGUAGAUUCUGUUGAACUCUUGUGGCCAAACUCAUAAAGGCUGAUGAAGAUGUAUGACAAAUUAAUUAUAUUUGUUAUUAUUUUUUCUUAAGUUUUUAGUUUAACUUUUGUUUGAAGAGGUGAAAGAAUACCAUGGUAAAUUAGGCCAUCUGAAGAGGUUAGCGGAAAUAGAGACGGACAGAUUGUUUAUUGAGCUAUGUGAAAAGGAUUCCUGCAAAAUACUAAGACAUAUGUAUGUAAUUGUUUUUUAAAAAAAUUUAAUAAACUUUUUCUUAAACUGUA